RNAcentral lists this ribosomal RNA (478 nucleotides) under uncultured bacterium. Its description in RNAcentral is "bacterial SSU rRNA". It matches the Rfam family "Bacterial small subunit ribosomal RNA", at positions 65 to 518 of the family's 1533-position model. The record is from RNAcentral.
GGCUUUCUAUGGAAGCUUGCUUCCACUGAGAAGAUAGUGGCGGACGGGUGAGUAACACGUGGGGUAACCUGCCCAUAAGAGGGGGAUAACAUCCGGAAACGGGUGCUAAUACCGCAUAGUUUUCUUGAUCGCAUGAUCGGGAAAGGAAAGACGGCCUUUGUGCUGUCGCUUAUGGAUGGACCCGCGGCGUAUUAGUUAGUUGGUGAGGUAACGGCUCACCAAGACGAUGAUACGUAGCCGACCUGAGAGGGUGAUCGGCCACAUUGGGACUGAGACACGGCCCAAACUCCUACGGGAGGCAGCAGUAGGGAAUCUUCCGCAAUGGACGAAAGUCUGACGGAGCAACGCCGCGUGAGUGAAGAAAAGGUUUUCGGAUCGUAAAACUCUGUUGUCAGAGAAGAACAAGUCGGAGAGUAACUGCUCCGGCCUUGACGGUAUCUGACCAGAAAGCCACGGCUAACUACGUGCCAGCAGCCGC